UCUGAGGACUACCUCUUCCAUCUGAUGGUGCACAAUCUUAAAAAAAAAAAAAGAAGAAGAAGAAGGAGGAGGAGGAGGAGGAGGAGGAGAUAUAGAGAAAAGAUGUCGCUGUUUGAGCCCGGCUUGGCCUGACUAGCUUUUUUCCUCCUCCUCCCGGCUUUUUUAAGAAGAUAUUUGUUUUUAUGGUUGUUUCUGUUUUUAAAACAAUCCACAUAAACAAACUAUUUGAUUUUAAUCAGCAUAAGUGUACUAACAAUCACAGUUGCAGUCCAAUAACAACCCCCAUGAUGAUCCAUCAUGUUCUUCCCAACAGGCAUUCGAGACUCCAGAAAACAAAGAAGAUGAUGAAAAUGGAUCAGCCCCUGUGUAACAAAGGAAGUGCACCAGUCGCACAGGUAGAUCUGGAAAAGCUAGGGUCAGAACUUGGGGGGAAUGAUGAAGGACACACAACAGAUGAUAUUGGUGAGUGGGGAUGGAUUCGAUGAACUUGGAAGGAAGAAAAGUCAAGCAGGGUGAAUUAAUUUGCUUUGCAUUUUUGCGUGAACAGUAAAAAAUAUAUAUAUUUUUUAAUUAUGUAUUAUUUAAAAAAUUAGUGUUUAAUAUUAUUCAAUGAUACUAUAUAAAUUAGAAGGA
Populus nigra (black poplar) is the source of this 633-nucleotide long non-coding RNA. RefSeq lists it as uncharacterized. The transcript has 2 exons. The record is from RefSeq and is a predicted model, not a curated record. NCBI's taxonomy places the organism in Eukaryota, Viridiplantae, Streptophyta, Magnoliopsida, Malpighiales, Salicaceae.